This is a non-coding RNA of Pelobates cultripes (western spadefoot toad), 216 nucleotides long. The record is from the annotation of a GenBank genome assembly. Lineage: Eukaryota; Metazoa; Chordata; Amphibia; Anura; Pelobatidae.
CCCGUCUUUAAACCGAGUCUGCCACUCACUGAAUCCCACAGUGGACUGCGACAUUUUCCUUUUCACCGCCGCCUUGCAAUCAUAGUACCUGUUUAAAAACGCAUUCGUUAAUUUAUUAAGUACAUAAGAAAUUGACAAAAAGUUAACAAUAAUAUUGUCUUAUUAAAAAUAUGAUGGCUUGCUUCCACUAUUAGGUUAGCCUCGACACUGACUGGG